UACAGAGGGGGCAAGCGUUGUUCGGAAUUACUGGGCGUAAAGGGCGCGUAGGCGGCCAACUAAGUCAGACGUGAAAUCCCCUGGCUCAACCAGGGAACUGCGUCUGAUACUGGUAGGCUUGAGUUCGGGAGAGGGAAGUGGAAUUCCAGGUGUAGCGGUGAAAUGCGUAGAUAUCUGGAGGAACACCGGUGGCGAAGGCGGCAUCCUGGACCAACACUGACGCUGAGGAGCGAAAGCCAGGGGAGCAAACGGG
This 253-nucleotide ribosomal RNA is filed under the name uncultured bacterium. Its description in RNAcentral is "partial 16S ribosomal RNA". It matches the Rfam family "Bacterial small subunit ribosomal RNA", at positions 524 to 776 of the family's 1533-position model. The record is from RNAcentral.